Molecule: ribosomal RNA, 253 nt
Filed under: uncultured bacterium
Lineage: Bacteria
Description: partial 16S ribosomal RNA
Rfam family: Bacterial small subunit ribosomal RNA
Source: RNAcentral
UACGUAGGGGGCUAGCGUUGUCCGGAAUCAUUGGGCGUAAAGCGCGUGUAGGCGGUCCGGUAAGUCCGCUGUGAAAGUCGGGGGCUCAACCCUCGGAUGCCGGUGGAUACUGUCGGGCUUGAGUACGGAAGAGGCGAGUGGAAUUCCUGGUGUAGCGGUGAAAUGCGCAGAUAUCAGGAGGAACACCAAUUGCGAAGGCAGCUCGCUGGGACGUUACUGACGCUGAGGUGCGAAAGCUAGGGGAGCGAACAGG